Molecule: ribosomal RNA, 252 nt
Filed under: Romboutsia sedimentorum
Lineage: Bacteria; Bacillati; Bacillota; Clostridia; Peptostreptococcales; Peptostreptococcaceae
Description: partial 16S ribosomal RNA
Rfam family: Bacterial small subunit ribosomal RNA
Source: RNAcentral
UACGUAGGGGGCUAGCGUUAUCCGGAAUUACUGGGCGUAAAGGGUGCGUAGGUGGUUUCUUAAGUCAGAGGUGAAAGGCUACGGCUCAACCGUAGUAAGCCUUUGAAACUGAGAAACUUGAGUGCAGGAGAGGAGAGUAGAAUUCCUAGUGUAGCGGUGAAAUGCGUAGAUAUUAGGAGGAAUACCCGUUGCGAAGGCGGCUCUCUGGACUGUAACUGACACUGAGGCACGAAAGCGUGGGGAGCAAACAGG